CCCUUAGAUGUUCUGGGCUGCACGCGCGCUACACUGAAGCGUUCAACGAGUAUUCACCUUGCCCGGGAGGGUUGGGUAAUCUUUUGAAAACGCUUCGUGAUGGGGAUAGAUUAUUGCAAUUAUUAAUCUUCAACGAGGAAUUCCUAGUAAGCGCGAGUCAUCAGCUCGUGCUGAUUACGUCCCUGCCCUUUGUACACACCGCCCGUCGCACCUACCGAUUGAAUGGUCCGGUGAAGCCUCGGGAUUGUGGCUGGUUUCCUUUAUUGGAGGUCGGUUGCGAGAACUUGUCUAAACCUUAUCAUUUAGAGGAAGGUGAAGUCGUAACA
This 326-nucleotide ribosomal RNA is filed under the name uncultured eukaryote. RNAcentral's name for it is "partial 18S ribosomal RNA". It matches the Rfam family "Eukaryotic small subunit ribosomal RNA", at positions 1470 to 1796 of the family's 1831-position model. The record is from RNAcentral.